AGGAUGAACGCUGGCGGCGUGCCUAACACAUGCAAGUCGAACGUCCUGUCUCGCAAGAGGCAGGGAGUGGCGGACGGGUGAGUACCACGUGGGUCAUCUACCGUGAGGUGAGGAAUACCGGCGAGAAAUCGCCGACAAGACCGCAUAGGCUCGAUGCAAGUCGAGCAAAGCUCUUUCGAGAGAGGGAGCGCCACACGAGGAGCCUGCGCCCGAUUAGCUAGCUGGUGGAGUAACGGUUCACCAGGGCGACGAUCGGUAGCUGGUCUGAGAGGACGAUCAGCCACACUGGGAUUGAGAACGGCCCAGACUCCUAUGGGGGGCAGCAGUGAGGAAUUUUCCGCAAUGGAGGCAACUCUGACGGAGCAACGCCGCGUGCAGGAGGAAGGUUUUCGGAUCGUAAACUGCUUUUCGUCGGGGACGAGCAAGGACGGUACCCGAGGAAGAACGCCCCGGCUAACUACGUGCCAGCAGCCGC
Molecule: ribosomal RNA, 475 nt
Filed under: uncultured bacterium
Lineage: Bacteria
Description: SSU rRNA
Rfam family: Bacterial small subunit ribosomal RNA
Source: RNAcentral